UGAGGGAAUAUUUGGGGUCAAUGGGCGAAAGCCUGAACCAGCCAAGUAGCGUGCAGGAUGACGGCCCUACGGGUUGUAAACUGCUUUUAGGCGAGGGUAAAGGAGCGGACGUGUUCCGCUUUUGCAAGUACCGCCAGAAAAAGGACCGGCUAAUUCCGUGCCAGCAGCCGCGGUAAUACGGAAGGUUCAGGCGUUAUCCGGAUUUAUUGGGUUUAAAGGGUGCGCAGGCGGCGCGCCAAGUCAGCGGUCAAAGUUCCGGGCUCAACCCGGUGUCGCCGUUGAAACUGGCGUGCUCGAGUGCGUGCGAGGAAGGCGGAAUGCGUUGUGUAGCGGUGAAAUGCAUAGAUAUGACGCAGAACUCCGAUUGCGAAGGCAGCUUUCCAGCGCGCUACUGACGCUGAGGCACGAAAGCGUGGGGGAUCGAACAGGGAUUAGAUACCCUGGGUAGU
Molecule: ribosomal RNA, 449 nt
Filed under: uncultured Prevotella sp.
Lineage: Bacteria; Pseudomonadati; Bacteroidota; Bacteroidia; Bacteroidales; Prevotellaceae
Description: bacterial SSU rRNA
Rfam family: Bacterial small subunit ribosomal RNA
Source: RNAcentral